GACGUAGGAGGCGAGCGUUAUCCGGAUUCACUGGGCGUAAAGCGCAUGUAGGCGGAUGUCUAAGUCGUGUGUUAAAGCCCCUGGCUCAACUGGGGGAGGUCAUGCGAGACUGGAUGACUUGAGGGCAACAGAGGCACGUGGAACUCCCGGUGUAGCGGUGGAAUGCGUAGAGAUCGGGAAGAACACCCGUGGCGAAGGCGGCGUGCUGGGUUGCAACUGACGCUGAGAUGCGAAAGCGUGGGGAGCAAACAGG
This 253-nucleotide ribosomal RNA is filed under the name uncultured bacterium. Its description in RNAcentral is "partial 16S ribosomal RNA". It matches the Rfam family "Bacterial small subunit ribosomal RNA", at positions 524 to 776 of the family's 1533-position model. The record is from RNAcentral.